CUAUUAUUUCAUAUCAAGGAAAGGCGUAACCAACGGAAGGGAAGGUUCUCACCCUAUCCUUGACAUUGUUCUCCGAAGAUUUCCCCUGGGCGAAAGGGGCCACCAUUCUCUUUCUUUCUUCAAUUGUUCCGAUCAGCACAAAUGGGUUGCUUCGUCUCCUCCUCCUAUCUACGCAAUUCUCUGUCUUCGUUUGUGAUCAUGUUAGGCGAAAGGUAGUUGUAGAGGAGCAGCUGUAAAACGACGUUUCGCCCCUUGGAAAUUCAAGUGAAAGAGGAAGCCGUAUAGUGCAGGAGGCAGAUUUUUGUAAAAAAGGGGUUGAUUAUUCGGAUUGGUUCUCGCGUCCCUGUGCCCAAAAGGAUGGGCGAGUUUGGUUCAAGUGUUCAUCGAUCGGGUGAAUUAUGUCACCUUGAUGUGGUAUUCUCAAGGGGUGUUCACCACUUUGGUCUCCUCCAUCAUCGUUCUCUACUCUCCCAUUAACAACCUCCUUAGGGGAAAUUUCGGCCUUCUUCUUUUCCUCUCCCUCCCCCCCUUCAUCCGAUUGUCUUCUUUGUCCUACAGGAUGAUGGUAGCAAUUGGAAGCAUUGCCUCACUCUUGGCUCUGUUGGUGAUAAACCUUUGAAAAAUGAAAAAAUUGUCAUAUUUUCUGAUGCACUAAACCAUGUGUCUAUAAUUGAUGGUAUUCGUCUUGCUGAGAGAACAAAAAAGUGCAAAACCUUUUAUCUAUAAACACUGUGACAUGUCCCAUCUCAAGGCACUGUUAUCAAGUUGCACGAUGAAGAAAAAAAUUGUUGUGACUGACAGCUUGUUUAAUAUGGAUGCAGACAUUGCACCAAUGGUUGAACUCGUGAAGCUUCGCAAGAAGUAAAUUAAAACAACGCCACAAAGUGCUUGGUUUGGGCAGACAAGUACUGAAUACUUAUCCCAGUUUGUAUUGAUAUGAAGCACAUUUAUCUUAUUACUCUCUCACAUACACACAAUCACACACUUGAGUAACAGCAAGAUUGAAGAAGAGCUCAAGGCGAAGAUGUCUUCAUUGGAUGAAAAGUACACCAUGGAACCCAAGGAAGUCGUUCAUGAACUACUACUUUACAGUAGACUCUCAUCAUCAACUGUUGAGAUUCCUGAAAACAACGUCUUAUUGGAACCUUCCAAAAAAGGGCGGCAUUGGAAUAAGCUUAAGAGUAGAGGGAUGCUCAAGUGGUAGUAAUGACAUUGAAGCAUUCAUAUUUUGUAAAAAAAAAAAAAAAAUAGUUGAUGACAUUUUAAAUUACUAGGACAAAGGAUUUUAU
This is a long non-coding RNA of Pistacia vera, 1289 nucleotides long. RefSeq lists it as uncharacterized. The record is from RefSeq and is a predicted model, not a curated record. The transcript has 5 exons. Lineage: Eukaryota; Viridiplantae; Streptophyta; Magnoliopsida; Sapindales; Anacardiaceae.